GACGAACGCUGGCGGCGUGCUUAACACAUGCAAGUCGAGCGGAGCGGCGAACGGGUGAGUAACGCGUGAGUAACUGCCCCCCUCUCUGGGAUCACAGUUGGAAACGGCUGCUAAUACCGGACAGUGGGGGAUGACUCGCGUCCGAUCAGCUUGUCGGUGGGGUAGUGGCCUAACAAGGCGUCGACGAGUAGCCGGCCUGAGAGGGCGAGCGUCUACACAGGGCUGGGAUACGGUCCGAUGUUCUACGGGAGGCAUCAGGUGGGAAUAUUGCACAAUGGGUGAAACCCUGAUGCAGCAACGCGGGUGCGAUAUGGCGGCCUUCGGGUUGUAUACCGCUUGCGGCCAUGACGCAAUAGUGGCAGAAGAAGCGCCGGCUAAGUACGUGCCAGCAGCCGCGGUAAUAC
This 404-nucleotide ribosomal RNA is filed under the name uncultured bacterium. RNAcentral's name for it is "partial 16S ribosomal RNA". It matches the Rfam family "Bacterial small subunit ribosomal RNA", at positions 28 to 526 of the family's 1533-position model. The record is from RNAcentral.